AGUAUAAGCACUUAUACCGUGAAACUGCGAAUGGCUCAUUAAAUCAGUUAUCGUUUAUUUGAUAGUACCUUUACCUGGAUAACCGUGGUAAUUCUAGAGCUAAUACAUGCUAAAAACCCCGACUUCGGGAGGGGUGUAUUUAUUAGAUAAAAAACCAAUGCCCUUCGGGGCUCCUUGGUGAUUCAUAAUAACUUAACGAAUCGCAUGGCCUUGCGCCGGCGAUGGUUCAUUCAAAUUUCUGCCCUAUCAACUUUCGAUUGUAGGAUAGAGGCCUACAAUGGUCUUAACGGGUAACGGGGAAUUAGGGUUCUAUUCCGGAGAGGGAGCCUGAGAAACGGCUACCACAUCCAAGGAAGGCAGCAGGCGCGCAAAUUACCCAAUCCCGAUACGGGGAGGUAGUGACAAUAAAUACUGAUACGGGGCUCUUUCGGGUCUCGUAAUUGGAAUGAGUACAAUCUAAAUCCCUUAACGAGGAACAAUUGGAGGGCAAGUCUGGUGCCAGCAGCCGCGGUAAUUCCAGCUCCAAUAGCGUAUAUUAAAGUUGUUGCCGUUAAAAAGCUCGUAGUUGAACCUUGGCCCUGGCUGAUCUGUCCUCCUAAUCGAGCGCACGGAUUCGGUCGGGGCUUUCCUUCUGGGGAGCCCCAUGCCCUUCACUGGGUGUGGCGGGGAACCAGGACUUUUACCUUGAAAAAAUUAGAGUGUUCAAAGCAGGCCUUUGCUCGAAUACAUUAGCAUGGAAUAAUAGAAUAGGACAUCGGUUCUAUUUUGUUGGUUUCUAGGACCGCUGUAAUGAUUAAUAGGGACAGUCGGGGGCGUCAGUAUUCAAUUGUCAGAGGUGAAAUUCUUGGAUUUAUUGAAGACUAACUACUGCGAAAGCAUUCGCCAAGGAUGUUUUCAUUAAUCAGUGAACGAAAGUUAGGGGAUCGAAGACGAUCAGAUACCGUCGUAGUCUUAACCAUAAACUAUGCCGACUAGGGAUCGGACGGUGGUUUUUUAUGCCCCGUUCGGCACCUUACGAGAAAUCAAAGUUUUUGGGCUCGGGGGGGA
This 1047-nucleotide ribosomal RNA is filed under the name Exophiala lapidea. RNAcentral's name for it is "SSU rRNA". It matches the Rfam family "Eukaryotic small subunit ribosomal RNA", at positions 62 to 1122 of the family's 1831-position model. The record is from RNAcentral. Lineage: Eukaryota; Fungi; Ascomycota; Eurotiomycetes; Chaetothyriales; Herpotrichiellaceae.